Long non-coding RNA from Panicum hallii, 394 nucleotides. RefSeq lists it as uncharacterized. The transcript is spliced from 3 exons. The record is from RefSeq and is a predicted model, not a curated record. Lineage: Eukaryota; Viridiplantae; Streptophyta; Magnoliopsida; Poales; Poaceae.
GAGAGGAGGAGAGAAGAGGAAGCGGCGAAGCCCUAUCGACGCAUCGGUUUCGAGAUAUGGCGGAGACACCGGAGCUCCUUGAUGCGAAUACCGACGAACGGCACAGAUCGUACCUGGCAGCGGUGGAGGGGCAGGAGCUUCACGAGUUGCGCCCUCGUGUAGCAAAGCAGUUGUUGCACCUGGACGACCGCUGGCUUGACAGGUUACGUGACGCUGGUUUGCUGCCACUCGCACGUACGCUUCAGGCCGGCGACGGCCAAGACGGUGGCGCCAAGAAGCGGAUGCAGCUGGAUCGCACUCUACUUGCGGUGUUGGCGGACAGGUGGCGUCCGGAGACGCACACGUUCCACUUGCCGUGCGGGGAGAUGGCCUCCACGUUGCAGGACAUGUCGUA